RNAcentral lists this small RNA (858 nucleotides) under uncultured Actinomycetes bacterium. RNAcentral's name for it is "bacterial SSU rRNA". The stretch from base 1 to 471 matches the Rfam family "Bacterial small subunit ribosomal RNA", at positions 1064 to 1533 of the family's 1533-position model. The record is from RNAcentral. Lineage: Bacteria; Bacillati; Actinomycetota; Actinomycetes.
GUCGUGAGAUGUUGGGUUAAGUCCCGCAACGAGCGCAACCCUUGUCCUAUGUUGCCAGCGGGUAAUGCCGGGGACUCGUAGGAGACUGCCGGGGUCAACUCGGAGGAAGGUGGGGAUGACGUCAAGUCAUCAUGCCCCUUACGUCCAGGGCUGCAAACAUGCUACAAUGGCCGGUACAAAGGGCUGCUAUUCCGCGAGGAUGAGCGAAUCCCAAAAAGCCGGUCUCAGUUCGGAUUGGAGUCUGCAACUCGACUCCAUGAAGUCGGAGUCGCUAGUAAUCCCGGAUCAGCAACGCCGGGGUGAAUACGUUCCCGGGCCUUGUACACACCGCCCGUCACACCACGAAAGUCGGCAACACCCGAAGCCGGUGGCCCAACCGUAAGGAGGGAGCCGUCGAAGGUGGGGUCGGUGAUUGGGGUGAAGUCGUAACAAGGUAGCCGUACCGGAAGGUGCGGCUGGAUCACCUCCUUUCUAAGGAGUUACUGCCGGUUCCAUUCGAGAACCGGAACUCCCACGUUGAUCACUCGCUAAUCGGCUCCUCGAGCUCACCAAUGGUCGUAGGAUUCGUCCUCCUGCUGGUGGCCUCGUUGCGCCCGGCGCCUCUGUUCCGUUUUCUGGGAGCAUCACGCUCCCUUUCCGCUGUGCCGGCUACGCCGGCCGCCAGCGACCCCGCCCCGUCUUCAAGUUGUCAUCGCGGUGGCGCGUGUCCCUUGAGAACUCCAUAGCGAGCACGAGCAUCUUUGUUUCCAAGCUACAAAGAGCCAACGGUGGAUGCCUUGGCGCCUGAAGCCGAAGAAGGACGUGGGUGGCUGCGAAAAGCCACGGGGAGCUGCCGACCAAGCGACGAUCCGUGGAUGU